UGGGUAACCUGCCUCAAAGAGGGGAAUAGCCUCCCGAAAGGGAGAUUAAUACCGCAUAAUAUGUUUUAGUCGCAUGACUUAAACAUCAAAGGAUUUUCUUUUAGAAAUUCCACUUUGAGAUGGACCCGCGGCGCAUUAGCUAGUUGGUGAGGUAACGGCUCACCAAGGCAACGAUGCGUAGCCGACCUGAGAGGGUNAUCGGCCACAUUGGAACUGAGACACGGUCCAGCUCCGUAGG
RNAcentral lists this ribosomal RNA (238 nucleotides) under uncultured bacterium. Its description in RNAcentral is "partial 16S ribosomal RNA". It matches the Rfam family "Bacterial small subunit ribosomal RNA", at positions 118 to 343 of the family's 1533-position model. The record is from RNAcentral.